This 305-nucleotide ribosomal RNA is filed under the name uncultured bacterium. Its description in RNAcentral is "bacterial SSU rRNA". It matches the Rfam family "Bacterial small subunit ribosomal RNA", at positions 332 to 657 of the family's 1533-position model. The record is from RNAcentral.
CAGCCUCGGGAGGCAGCAGUGGGGAAUAUUGCACAAUGGGGGGAACCCUGAUGCAGCGACGCCGCGUGGGUGAAGAAGUAUUUCGGUAUGUAAAGCCCUAUCAGCAGGGAAGAAAAAUGACGGUACCUGACUAAGAAGCACCGGCUAAAUACGUGCCAGCAGCCGCGGUAAUACGUAUGGUGCAAGCGUUAUCCGGAUUUACUGGGUGUAAAGGGAGCGCAGGCGGCACGCUAAGCCUGAUGUGAAAACCCGCGGCCCAACCGCGGGAGUGCAUUGGGAACUGUCGGGCUGGAGUACCGGAGGGG